GAUGAAGAACGUAGCGAAAUGCGAUAAGUAAUGCGAAUUGCAGUAUUUCCGUGAGUCAUCGAAUCUUUGAACGCACAUUGCGCCCACUGGUAUUCCGGUGGGCAUGCCUGUUCGAGCGUCAUUAUCCUCCCUCAAACCCCGGGUUUGGUGUUGGACCCAAGUUGUGUGAACAACUGGUCUCAAAGACAAUGACGGCGUCCGUGGGACCCUCGGUGCAACGAGCUUUUAGGAGCACGCAUCGAGUUGCAAGGACCUUCCGGGCCGGUCUCCUUUACCAUUUUACAAGGUUGACCUCGGAUCAGGUAGGAAUACCCGCUGAACUUAAGCAUAUCAAUAAGCGGAGGA
This 345-nucleotide unclassified non-coding RNA is filed under the name soil metagenome. Its description in RNAcentral is "partial contains 5.8S ribosomal RNA, internal transcribed spacer 2, and large subunit ribosomal RNA". The stretch from base 1 to 121 matches the Rfam family "5.8S ribosomal RNA", at positions 35 to 154 of the family's 154-position model. The record is from RNAcentral.